RNAcentral lists this ribosomal RNA (352 nucleotides) under uncultured bacterium. Its description in RNAcentral is "bacterial SSU rRNA". It matches the Rfam family "Bacterial small subunit ribosomal RNA", at positions 22 to 356 of the family's 1533-position model. The record is from RNAcentral.
GCUCAGGAUGAACGCUGGCGGCGUGCUUAACACAUGCAAGUCGAGCGAAGCGCUUAUGAAAGAUUCUUCGGAUGAUUUCAUUUGUGACUGAGCGGCGGACGGGUGAGUAACGCGUGGGUAACCUGCCUCAUACAGGGGGAUAACAGUUGGAAACGACUGCUAAUACCGCAUAAGCGCACAGUACCGCAUGGUACAGUGUGAAAAACUCUGGUGGUAUGAGAUGGACCCGCGUCUGAUUAGCUGGUUGGUGGGGUAACGGCCUACCAAGGCGACGAUCAGUAGCCGACCUGAGAGGGUGACCGGCCACAUUGGGACUGAGACACGGCCCAAACUCCUACGGGAGGCAGCAGUA